AGAAUCAACGCUGGCGGCGUGCCUCAGACAUGCAAGUCGAACGAUUAAACUUUCCUUCGGGAAAGAUAUAAAGUGGCGCACGGGUGAGUAACACGUAAGUAAUCUACCUUCGAGUGGGGAAUAACAUCGGGAAACCGAUGCUAAUACCGCAUAAUGCAGCGGCAUCGCAAGAUGACAGUUGUUAAAGGAUUUAUUCGCUUGAAGAGGAGCUUGCGGCAGAUUAGCUUGUUGGUAAGGUAACGGCUUACCAAGGCUACGAUCUGUAACCGGUCUAAGAGGACGGUCGGUCACACUGACACUGAAUAACGGGUCAGACUCCUACGGGAGGCAGCAGUCGGAAUUUUGGGCAAUGGGCGAAAGCCUGACCCAGCAACGCCGCGUGAAGAUGAAGUAUUCGGUAUGUAAACUUCGAAAGAAUAGGAAGAAUCAAUGACGUACUAUUUAAUAAGGUCCGACUAACUACGUGCCUAGCAGCCGC
Molecule: ribosomal RNA, 478 nt
Filed under: uncultured soil bacterium
Lineage: Bacteria
Description: bacterial SSU rRNA
Rfam family: Bacterial small subunit ribosomal RNA
Source: RNAcentral